Molecule: non-coding RNA, 76 nt
Filed under: Clostridiales bacterium
Lineage: Bacteria; Bacillati; Bacillota; Clostridia; Eubacteriales
Description: Fluoride sequence
Rfam family: Fluoride riboswitch aptamer (crcB RNA motif)
Source: RNAcentral
ACCAAUGUUGGGAAUGAGGUUCUCCCUUAGUCUUUAGGACUUAAACCGCGUGUACGCUGAUGACUUCUGUGAUAUC